RNAcentral lists this long non-coding RNA (1107 nucleotides) under Gallus gallus (chicken). RNAcentral describes it as "lncRNA (ENSGALG00010003776.1)". Lineage: Eukaryota; Metazoa; Chordata; Aves; Galliformes; Phasianidae. The record is from RNAcentral.
AUUUGGGCCUUGUUUAUGAAGAGAUGACACAAAAAUGUGGGAAUUUGGGUCUUAUGAAGAGAGGAUACACAAAUGUGGAUAUUUAAGUGGAAAUGUGGGUCUUGUUUAGGGAGAUACAGAAAUUUGGGUAUUUAGGUGGGAAUUUGGGUCUUAUUGAGGAAGAGACAACACAUAAAUGUGGGAAUUUGGGUCUUUUUGUGAGGAGAGGGUAUAAAAAUGUGGGAAUUUGGGGUCUUAUGAAGAGAAAAUAGACAAAUGUGGGUGUUUAGGUGGGAAUUUGGGUUGUAUUUAUGAAGAGAAGAUACACAAAUGUGGAUAUUUAGGUGGAAAUUUGGGUCUUGCUUAUGAAGAGAAUGCAUAAAUGUGGGAAUUUGGGUCUUAUUCAUGAAGAGAAGAUACACAAAUAUGGAUAUUUAGGUGAGAAUUUGGGUCUUGUUUAUGAAGAGAGGACACACACACGUGGGAAUUUGGGUCUGUUUGUGAGGAGAGGGUACGAAAAUGUGGGAAUUUGGGCCUUUUUUAGGAAGAGGACACACAGAUGUGGGUAUUUAGGUGGAAAUUUGGGCCUUGUUUAUGAAGAGAUGACACAUAGAUGUGGGAAUUUGGGUCUUAUGAAGAGAGGAUACACAAAUGUGGAUAUUUAGGUGGAAAUUUGGGUCUUGUUUAGGAAGAUAGAGAAAUUUGGGUAUUUAGGUGGGAAUUUGGGUCUUAUUGAGGAAGAGACAACACAUAAAUGUGCGAAUUGGGGUCUUUUUGUGAGGAGAGGGUACAAAAAUGUGGGAAUUUGGGUCUUAUGAAGAGAAAAUACACAAAUGUGGGUGUUUAGGUGGGAAUUUGGGUGUUAUUUAGGAAGAGGACACACAGAUGUGGGUAUUUAGGUGGAAAUUUGGGCCUUGUUUAUGAAGAGAUGACACAUAGAUGUGGGAAUUUGGGUCUUAUGAAGAGAGGAUACACAGAUGUGAAUAUUUAGGUGAGAAUUGGGGUCUUUUUGUGAGGACAGGACACACAAAUGAGGGCAUUUCGCUCUGAUUCAUAACAACGCGUCCCACCAUCGCUCCCUCACGGAACCCAUCUGGCGCCAAAACGGCCCACAGCAGCGCGCGAACC